GAUCCUGGCUCAGGAUGAACGCUAGCUACAGGCUUAACACAUGCAAGUCGAGGGGCAUCAGGAAGAAAGCUUGCUUUCUUUGCUGGCGACCGGCGCACGGGUGAGUAACACGUAUCCAACCUGCCCUUUACUCGGGGAUAGCCUUUCGGAAGAAAGAUUAAUACCCGAUAGCAUAAUGAUUCCGCAUGGUUUCAUUAUUAAAGGAUUCCGGUAAAGGAUGGGGAUGCGUUCCAUUAGGUUGUUGGUGAGG
This 250-nucleotide ribosomal RNA is filed under the name uncultured bacterium. RNAcentral describes it as "partial 16S ribosomal RNA". It matches the Rfam family "Bacterial small subunit ribosomal RNA", at positions 15 to 257 of the family's 1533-position model. The record is from RNAcentral.